UACGAAGGGGGCUAGCGUUGCUCGGAAUCACUGGGCGUAAAGGGUGCGUCGGCGGUUCUUUAAGUCAGGGGUGAAAUCCUGGAGCUCAACUCCAGAACUGCCUUUGAUACUGAGGAUCUUGAGUUCGGGAGAGGUGAGUGGAACUGCGAGUGUAGAGGUGAAAUUCGUAGAUAUUCGCAAGAACACCAGUGGCGAAGGCGGCUCACUGGCCCGGUACUGACGCUGAGGUGCGAAAGCGUGGGGAGCAAACAGG
RNAcentral lists this ribosomal RNA (253 nucleotides) under uncultured bacterium. Its description in RNAcentral is "partial 16S ribosomal RNA". It matches the Rfam family "Bacterial small subunit ribosomal RNA", at positions 524 to 776 of the family's 1533-position model. The record is from RNAcentral.